CCCAGAGUCUUUAAACUGAAUCAACAGAACGCUCCACCAUUACACAAAUAAAGACUUUGAGCCAGAGCUAGAUAAACCAAACCAGUGAAUUUUCAAUUUUAAUCUGCUAAUUGCAAGCUAUGCAAUGUCUUCAAAUUUUCCAUUUACAGUUCUGUUCUCAAAUAAAGAUCAUCAAUUCAAAGUAAAAAAAAAAAAUUGUUUCAAUUGCUGGAAAAAAAAAUUCUGAAAUUGUGAGACUUAACAGCGAGAAGCAACG
This 256-nucleotide unclassified non-coding RNA is filed under the name Hevea brasiliensis (rubber tree). The record is from RNAcentral. Lineage: Eukaryota; Viridiplantae; Streptophyta; Magnoliopsida; Malpighiales; Euphorbiaceae.